This is a non-coding RNA of Kogia breviceps (pygmy sperm whale), 1191 nucleotides long. The record is from RefSeq and is a predicted model, not a curated record. NCBI's taxonomy places the organism in Eukaryota, Metazoa, Chordata, Mammalia, Artiodactyla, Physeteridae.
UAGAUCCGAUCAUGUGCUCGCUCAGCCUUAGGUUUUCCCUGACCUUAAAAUAUGGUCCUACCAUUUAUAGGAGCAUAAAGUACAUGCACAAGUUGUGCUGGGAACAUUACAGGCUUGUUUCCAUUGAAACCUCAACAGCUUUCAAUAUAGCUCUUAGUCCCCAUUUUAUAGCUGAAUACAUGACACAUAACUUCCUAUAGCGAAUAAUAUCUGAGAGUCAAACCCAGAUAUCUGAUGUAAGGCAUGUGCCUCUUUUCACUCUACUAAUGAAAAGUCCUCAGUUCCCUUUUUCUUUUGCUUUCAUCUCUAUUCGAUACAGACUUUAGAAGUCACCCCAUCCUACCUCCAUUUACCAGAUGAGAAAAUUGAGGCCCAGAUAAGGGGGGAGACAAGGGCCUGGUGUUUUAGUCCCACGUUUGAAUUAUUUUAUAGACAAAUCCUAUUAAUACAUAAGACGAUAGUCAAAAUUUUGGUCCAAUUAUUUUUUUAAAAAAAUCUUUAAAUUGAGACCUACACACACACUGAAUUUCAGAGAUUAUUACAACAAAUCUUUCCAAAUAUUUUGUUAAAGCAGACUAUUUAAAGACAAAGUAAGUGAAUGCUAUCAGAAGCAACCCCUACCCGAACUUUUGUUUUUAAUAACACAGCCUUCCUUAGCAGAACUUCAAGUUCAUGCAGAAAAACCAUUUUUUUCAAUUCUCAGAACAAAGACUGAAAUAUAGUUUUUAAAAAAGGACUAGAUAGAUAGGUCAUUUGGACAGGAAAAGAACCAUCUAUUAAGUGUCCUAAACCAGUUAACCACACUGAUUGAAAACUGCUGUCUAAGAGCAUGAAAAAGGUGGAGAAAGGGUGCUCUAAUCUGAAGAAACGCCAUGAACGAAGAUACGAAGGCAUGAAGAUACACGGUACACCUAGAGACCUUCUAAUGGCCCGGCGUGGAGAUCACAACCUCAAAUGCCUACAGGAUCAUGCGGGUCAUUUAAACCCAUGAGAGUAAUAGCCAAAGUCCUCACAAUGGUCUGCAAAGUCUUACCACACUCUCCCCAUUUAGGCCCCUGACUGCUUUCCCUGUGACUCUCCCUUAACCCGUUCUUCACCCUGCCUGGGCCACACGGAUCUCCAAGCUCUCACCUGCCCCGGGACUUCUGCACUAUAGCUCCCUUUGUCUUAACCUCCUGAUUCCCCACCAGC